RNAcentral lists this ribosomal RNA (358 nucleotides) under uncultured Acholeplasma sp. RNAcentral's name for it is "bacterial SSU rRNA". It matches the Rfam family "Bacterial small subunit ribosomal RNA", at positions 1022 to 1382 of the family's 1533-position model. Lineage: Bacteria; Bacillati; Mycoplasmatota; Mollicutes; Acholeplasmatales; Acholeplasmataceae. The record is from RNAcentral.
UAUUCGGGGAGACGAGGUGGUGCAUGGUUGUCGUCAGCUCGUGUCGUGAGAUGUUGGGUUAAGUCCCGCAACGAGCGCAACCCCUAUUGCUAGUUACCAUCAUUAAUUGGGGACUCUAGCGAGACUGCCAGUGAUAAACUGGAGGAAGGUGGGGAUGACGUCAAAUCAUCAUGCCCCUUAUGACCUGGGCUACAAACGUGAUACAAUGGCUGGAACAAAGGGAUGCGAAGCAGUGAUGUGGAGCGAAACCCAUAAAAACAGUCUCAGUUCGGAUUGAAGUCUGCAACUCGACUUCAUGAAGUCGGAAUCGCUAGUAAUCGCGGAUCAGAACGCCGCGGUGAAUACGUUCUCGGGGUUU